This is a non-coding RNA of Punica granatum (pomegranate), 954 nucleotides long. The record is from RefSeq and is a predicted model, not a curated record. NCBI's taxonomy places the organism in Eukaryota, Viridiplantae, Streptophyta, Magnoliopsida, Myrtales, Lythraceae.
UGUAUGCUUUAUAGGACUCUCCAUACUCACUCAUUCAUAAUAGAUGCGCUCACGUAUCAGACCAGUCAAGGAAGUCGGCCUGCUAUCAGCAUAUUUGACAACCUUGACACUCGGUGACAGGUCUGAAGGUAUUAGCAAGGAGCCUGGAGACGACAUAGCUGGACAAAGAUGUUGAUGGCAAAAUCACAACACAAGCAAGGUUUUCAGGCUAAGUUCUUGUGCAUAUAAGUUCGCCACCGUCACAAACAAAGCCGGGCGACCUCCAGCCCUCCUCAAAAACGAACCUGACCCAAGAAACCCGUGACUCAUCUGAAGGACAACCUGGAGGUCCAGAUGCUACAAAGGUUCAAAAAUAUCCUCGAAAUCAGGGAGGAUCACCACCUGCUGACUCGGGAGAGCACGCUUUCCUCGCUAAUGUGGGGACACUUGCUACAGAUAUUCUUGGUCAUUGGGCUAAAUAGAAUAGCCUUCUGGAUGUGAACGCCCUCAUCUGUCUUAUUUCCGUUCAGUUCUAUUUAUUUGUUUCACCAUUAGAAAUGCUUAUCUGUAGUGUUACCUUCCCAUUCUGACAUGGAAGCUAAUCUGUUUAAGUUAUGUUCCUCCAUUAACUUACUUUAAUUGUUUCCUAUGUUAAUUGACUGCAAAAUGCGAAACAUGUUAAAAUUCUGGGGCUGAAGCUGCAGAACAUAUUGUAUAUGUCGCAUAGAAAAAUACGAAAAUGAAAUUUGACAUAACUAACAUGAUCUGGUGCUUCAAUUUCGCUUCCAGGUUUUCUUUCUAGUGUGGUGAAUAACAACUUUUGGUUUAUAUGGAGUUUUAGUGGAGUUGCCACCGUCUUUCUAAGCAAGAAAAAGUGCAUCGGAGGCAGAACUUUGAUGUGGAUACAGCUGUAUCACUUAGCUUCAAAAUUUCAUGCACCAUAUUCUUGAUUAAUGAACCUUCUGGUUGUUCCAU